UUACGGCCAUGUCAUGUUGAAAUACUGGUUCCGCUACGAUCACCGAAGUUAAGCAACGUCGAGCCUGGUCAUUACUUAGCUGGGUGACCAAUUGUGAAUAUCAGGUGCUGUAAG
Molecule: non-coding RNA, 114 nt
Organism: Acanthosepion pharaonis
Lineage: Eukaryota; Metazoa; Mollusca; Cephalopoda; Sepiida; Sepiidae
Source: the annotation of a GenBank genome assembly